AUUUAUCAUUAACCAAUCCAACACCAAUAAUCCAAAAAUGUUCCGCUACACAUACUGCAACUAACACCUAAUAAUAGUUAACUGAUUUAAAACCUAGGGGGAAAAAAGCCUCCUCCAACUCAAAUUGAAGUGGGCGAGGCUAGUCAGGUUUGGUCAUCAAGUUGAGGAGGCGAUGAUCCAAAAUCAAGGUUUGGGAAGACACCAGGCGGCCUUGGCCGAGGUUGGAUCGUUAGCAACUGGCUUGAGUCGCC
This 251-nucleotide long non-coding RNA is filed under the name Gossypium raimondii (Peruvian cotton). RNAcentral's name for it is "long non-coding RNA (GRAI_LNC001125)". The record is from RNAcentral. Lineage: Eukaryota; Viridiplantae; Streptophyta; Magnoliopsida; Malvales; Malvaceae.